GCAUCGAUGAAGAACGUAGCGAAAUGCGAUAAGUAGUGUGAAUUGCAGAAUUCAGUGAAUCAUCGAAUCUUUGAACGCACAUUGCGCCC
This 89-nucleotide ribosomal RNA is filed under the name Theobroma grandiflorum. RNAcentral describes it as "partial 5.8S ribosomal RNA". It matches the Rfam family "5.8S ribosomal RNA", at positions 30 to 118 of the family's 154-position model. Rfam says of the family: 5.8S ribosomal RNA (5.8S rRNA) is a component of the large subunit of the eukaryotic ribosome. It is transcribed by RNA polymerase I as part of the 45S precursor that also contains 18S and 28S rRNA. Lineage: Eukaryota; Viridiplantae; Streptophyta; Magnoliopsida; Malvales; Malvaceae. The record is from RNAcentral.